GUCAGCACAAACCGGAACCUCCCCCAACUUGCUCGACACGAGGGGUGCUGAUGUCGGGGGAAACCCUCCUGUGAACCAGCGGGAUAGAGAGAAAGACAAAGACCGGGAAUAAACUAAAGCGCCCUCCUGUGGCGCUUUAGUUUU
Molecule: small RNA, 144 nt
Filed under: Enterobacter cancerogenus
Lineage: Bacteria; Pseudomonadati; Pseudomonadota; Gammaproteobacteria; Enterobacterales; Enterobacteriaceae
Description: sraL
Rfam family: sraL Hfq binding RNA
About the family: The SraL RNA ('sra' for small RNA), discovered in E. coli, and later in Salmonella Tiphimurium. It is expressed only in stationary phase.
Source: RNAcentral